CUUUAUCUUUUUUUCUUUUCUUGUUAAACAUUUUACAAAUGUCGGAGACAGUUUUGGGGCACUAUUUAAAUAUAGUUCUAACAUGAGAAGAAAGAAACAUGUCUCUCCCAAGAUAAGUAAGAGAAGUAUAAGUAGAACAAUCAAAGGUCGAUUUCAAUAAAGAAUCUGGUGGUAUAAAAAGAAUAUGAAUCCAUGUUCAAUAUAUCAACAAUAUAUCAGAUUGUAAAAAUAGAUUUAUCUUCCACCUAAUACACUACAAAAACAUUGAAACACAAUUACAAACAAUUAUUAGUAAAAUAGACCGUUUCGUAUAUAUCAUGAGAGAUGUAAUGGAACAAUUUGUCAACAAUUUCUGUAACCAGCCAUAUUUCGCAUUUAUUUUGUUUAAUAUUUAAUAUAAGUGGAAACUAUUUUAUGUACCAAAAUAAAUGUGAGAAAUAAUGUAG
Long non-coding RNA from Aethina tumida (small hive beetle), 446 nucleotides. RefSeq lists it as uncharacterized. The transcript is spliced from 2 exons. The record is from RefSeq and is a predicted model, not a curated record. NCBI's taxonomy places the organism in Eukaryota, Metazoa, Arthropoda, Insecta, Coleoptera, Nitidulidae.